CCGUGGGCUAUAUGAUGGCCAAAAAGCACCUGGAGAUCAACCCCAACCACCCCAUUGUGGAGACGCUGCGGCAGAAGGCUGAGACACACAAGAAUGACAAGGCAGUCAAGGACCUGGUGGUGCUGCCGUUAGAAACUGCCUUGCUGUCUUCUGGCUUUUCCCUUGAGGAUCCCCAGACCCAUUCCAACCACAUCUACUGCAUGAUCAAGCUAGGUCUAGGUAUCGAUGAAGAUUAAGUGACAGCAGAGGAACACAGUGCUGUGGUUCCUGAUGAGAUCACCCCUCUUGAGGGUGACGAGGAUGUGUGAUGCAUCUCGCAUGGAAGAAGUAGAUUAGGAGUUCAUAGUUGGAAAACUCACCAUUGUAUAGUGUCCCCAUGGAUCCCAUGGCAUCAUCGAGUGCCCACUUUGCUCCCCCUGCUGAUGUCUAGUGUUUUUUUUUUCUCUCCUGUCCUUGUGUUGAAGGCAAGAAACAAGGGUGUCAAGCCCCCAUUCCCUCCUUACUCUGAUAGCAAGAUUGGAUGUUAUAUAUUAUGAGGCUUUUUGUUUAUUUUGUUCAUUUUGUUCUGAAAUUACAGUAUGCAAAAUAAAGAAUAUGUCAUUUUUAUACAAAAAG
Molecule: long non-coding RNA, 615 nt
Filed under: Homo sapiens (human)
Lineage: Eukaryota; Metazoa; Chordata; Mammalia; Primates; Hominidae
Description: non-protein coding lnc-CPEB2-12:1
Source: RNAcentral